Long non-coding RNA from Protopterus annectens (West African lungfish), 552 nucleotides. RefSeq lists it as uncharacterized. Lineage: Eukaryota; Metazoa; Chordata; Ceratodontiformes; Protopteridae. The record is from RefSeq and is a predicted model, not a curated record. The transcript has 5 exons.
CAGUUGCCUUCCCUAGCAGGUCUGUGAUCACCUCAUUAUCUGUGUGCUGCUCAAUAUAUACUGUUAAGUUGAAAUUCAUCUGAGAAGUAAAGUCACAGGAAAGCAUUAACAAUUGGAGUGGCAUAAUAGGAGAAAUAAAAGAUGAAACUGACCUGAGGACAGCCAUGACAGAUGAACUGAAGAUCCUGGAGAAUGUGUGAGCUGUAAUCAACUGUAGAGAGAUCCAUAGCAUUAUUUGCUGCAGUCUGCAGAAACAGGAAGUCUUCCCAUACCUUUGAAUCCUCCUGAAUAACAUUGGAUGGAAUGUUAAUACAAUAAAUGGGAAAAGACAAAGAUAUGCGAACACUACAAUUUGAAAACUUUUUCCAGGUUCUAGCAGUUAGCUCCAGAGGCAACAGAUGAACAGGUUCGGUUGCCGGAUAAAGUUUGGAAGAUUAGACUGAAGUAACCAGACAGUUGGUGCAGCAAUCCUGGGCAGUUUCCACAAGGAAGGCAUAUGGUCUGUUCAUGAGGUUUUGUCAGAAGAUCUAUUCAGAGUGGGAAAAGACCAAU